CCGUCUACUAAAAAAGCUAAAAAAGGGGAGUAUAGAGGAAAGUGAAUUUGCAAAGAUGACCGGGACAGAAGAGUUGCUAUAAAGUGCAUUAUGCAGAUCACGAUUCUGCAAGUUUUGAUGGUGAUUGGGUGUUGUCAGGCCUCAAUGAAGAAAGCUACUCCCCCCAGUUUUAGUCUCUUUGGGGGGCCUAAGCAACUUGUAAGAUUCAGCUGUUGAUUUGUUAUUAUUUUCCUCUAAUGAUAUGCAUUAUUGGUGUUCUGUCAGACCUCGGAGAAAUUUCUUGCCUCAUUGGCACUCGAUACAAAAGUAUUUAAAUAAAUUUGUAGAUUUGAAGAACCGGCUCUCACGGGAGUUGCCCGUGCAUUUCUUAAAAAUUAGUAAUUUCAUAUUUGAUUUUGUUAUAUUCAGUUGAAUAAAUUAUGCCAUUAGCUAUAAAGCAACCGGUACAAAUGAAACUGAUUGGAUCCGAAUUUCCAGAAAUAUCUUGGCUUACUUGCUCUUGCUUGUGAUUGUUGGUAAAAUUUACGGAACUUAAUCGUAACAGAGAGAUGGAUAAAAGAAAUAUGCUUCUAUAAUGGUGAAGAUGUCUGAUUAAUCUCAAGCUUCAAUUUUUUCUUCACCAGCAUUUGUAGAAUAGUUGUUGAUGUACAGUCGACUGACUGACCGACUGACUGUAAGCGAUGAAGAAGACCAAGAACGAAGUCAACAAAAGCAUUUAAAGGCACAGCAAAAGCGAAGCUUCCUGCCAUGUUCCAAACUCACUGUCAAGACUUGACCUUCGUCUUCGUCUUCGUCUUCGUCUUCGUCGUCGUCCCAUGUAUCUUAAUAAUAAGAAUACUUCAUCAUCUUCUUCGGACUUACAUCAAUCGUCAAACUCUAAAAACUCUCCGCAACUCCCUCCUCUCACUUAAAAAAACUCUCCACUCCCUCGUUCUCUUCAUCACCAUGUCCAAUUCCAACGACGACUCCUCAGCCGUCGAUCCUCCUCCGUUCGACCCAUUGCAGCCGUCGAUUCCCAUCUCUUACCCCAUUAAAACCCUCCAAGAUCUUCACUCUCGCGCUUACUUUGACUCCUUUCACUACCCUUUUAAUAAGUCGACUGUUCCUCUUCAUCCUCUGAACGGUGCGUCUCCAACUCUACCUGCCAGGCCGAGGAUUUUGGUUUGCCAUGACAUGCAAGGUGGCUACGUGGAUGAUAAGUGGGUCCAAGGUGGGACCAAUGCCGACGCCUACGCUAUUUGGCAUUGGCAUUUGAUGGAUGUUUUUGUUUAUUUUUCUCAUAGUUUGGUCACUUUGCCUCCUCCUUGUUGGACUAACACUGCUCACAGACAUGGCGUUAAGGUAGUGCAAUUUCUUUUUCUUUUUCUUUUUUUUUUAAUUUAUAUUUCGUUCUUGAACAAUAAGUGCUUAGUUAGUUGAAAAUUAAAAGACAUGCCUUUUAUGUUUUGCUUUUGUUUUCUUUGCUUCUUGAUUUUAAUUUUGUGUUUGUUUAACUGUUUGUAGUGUAUGGAGUUUAAGGGAGGAAAUGAUUGAUUGUGGAUAAAAACCUCAUAUAAGCUUUUACUCUUUGUAGUGUUUGCUUUUUCUUUAUUCAACUUUAUUAAUGAUCUUUUAAUAUAAUAUGUUCAACGACAAUGUACACAUCAAGACGAUUUUCCUUUUUUCUGCGAGUUUGUGUGUGAGUAGGGGGUGGGGGGUUAAAUUCUUGAAUGAAAGAUUGAUCAAUUAUGGGAAAUGACCAUAGCUGUUAUAACAAUAAUUAUAGAGACUGAGCAGAAAUUUUUUCGGAGGGCAAGUACUAUGCUUUAAAGUUGGUGCAGUGUAAGCUCAAAAUGUCUAGAUGGUAUCUAUGAUAUGAUUACGACAUGGUGGUGCAAGGCUAUCCAAUUGGGAGUUUUUUUUGAAUUAUUAUUAUAGACCAUGAUUUGCCUUUUAUUUUUUAUUCCUUUGGUAGCUUGACAUUUUGAAUAUUGAUGGUGUACUUUAUUCUCAAUCCAUGAGAGUGGUAAGUGAAUGACUUGAGGAAUUUUAAUUGUAUAUGAUGAUAUUUCUCUUGUGCUCAUGGAAUAAUAGGUUUUAGGGACUUUCAUCACAGAAGGGGAUGAAGGAAAAGUUAUUGCCACUGAAUUGCUAUCUACAAAGGAGUCUGCUCAUACUUAUGCUGAGCGCUUGGCAGAGCUUGCGGUUGCUUUGGGCUUUGAAGGGUGGCUGGUAUAGGUUUUAUUAAAUCUCUGACUUUUCGAUUUUAUUCUAGCUUUUUUCAGUUUUAAGUACUACAUAGAGUGUCAUCUGUGCAUUCCCUUCCAGUUGUUGAUAUGGGAACUGUUACUUGCAGCUUAACAUGGAGGUUAAACUGGAUGUAGAUCAAAUCCCUAACUUGAAAGAAUUUGUCAGCCAUUUAACUCAAACUAUGCACUCCUCAGUGCCUGGAUCUUUGGUUAUCUGGUGAGUGUGAGCAUUAGGAUAUGCUACGUUCUCUUGAAUUUUGUGCUGUAGUAAUUUGUCUUAAAUUUAUAUUUUAUCGAUUAAUAUUGUUUUUGCAGGUAUGACAGUGUUACAAUUGAUGGGAAACUUGAAUGGCAAGAUCAACUGAAUGAAAAAAAUAAACCUUUCUUUGAUAUUUGUGACGGCAUAUUUGUAGACUAUAAAUGGGAGGUAAGCCCUUAUCUUUACCCCUUGUAUGGAACUUAAUGGUGGGUUCUUGUAUUCAAUAAUUCUUGGGUGCCUCGUAGGAAGACUAUCCAAAGCUUUCAGCAGCUGUUGCAGGUGAUAGGAAGUUUGAUGUCUACAUGGGAAUAGAUGUAUUUGGAAGGAACACUUUUGGAGGUGGACAAUGGCAUGUACGUGACCUGUUAACUUUAUGAGAUUUGUGAAUCUUCAUUUUAAAAGUUUCUUACAGUCUACGUUUUAAUUCUAUAUUAUAUUAUAUCUAAUCUUCCAAUUGAUUUCAUUCAAUGUGGACCCUAUUAGGAGAAGUUUGAAUUUUUCCAUCGUCUAAGUCGCUUCUAUGAAUUUUUUCUUUUUUUUAAAAAAAAAAAAGUCUCUUCUACCCACUUGUGGUGACAUACUAGUUCGGUAAGCAAGAUAAAUUAGCUCAUCUUUCUGUCAAACCAAAUUAAGAUUACCUGUUUGAUUGUUUUUCUUGUUGAAGUAGCAUACUUCGACGUAUUUCAUUUAUUGGUUGCGAAAUUAUCUUCAACUCCCAUGUAAUAUGUACUUUUGAGUCUUUACUUACUAGACAUGUUUUAAAGUAUAUUCACAUCAUGAUGCCAGAUAUUAUUAUGUAAAACAGAGUUAUGUAAAAGUUCUGGUAGUUUGAAUUUUUUGAAGUGUGGAAAGUUUUCUUUCGUAACUAUAUUCUUUGUAAAUCAGACAAAUGUCGCUCUGGAUGUGAUAAAGAAGGAUGAUGUGUCAGCUGCCAUAUUUGCUCCUGGAUGGAUCUAUGAGACUAAGCAGUCACCUGACUUUCAGACUGCUCAAAAUCAGUAAUCCUCCUAUCCUUUGUGAAAUUCCAUGAAUGUGGAAGUUCUGCGCACAUACACACACAGCUGCUAUGUAUUUUUGCUACUAUCAGUAUACCCUGUUUACUGUAUUUCACAUAGGUGGGAACAGCACUCAUCUGGGACGCCAUAUGGACCCUUUUCUUAGGAGCAUAAAUAGCUGAAAAAUGUCACUAUUCACUUCUGAACUUAUUCUCGUCUUCAAAACUUUCCUCUUUUUCCUCAUAGCAACAGAUUUUCAUAUCUUUUAGUGUUAAACCUGAACAAAUUUUCAAAAUUUGCUGAAUUCUUUCAAUGAUACUUGGGUUCCUCUUACCUGUACCUGUCCCGGAUUAUGAUUUAUGUUCUGUUUUACUACUUCAAUUAUUUGAAGAUCUUUCCAAUGCUGCUCAUCUAUAGCAGUGUAACUCUUACUUUCAUUGUUGAGAUAGUUUCCUCUAAUAUCUAUACAAUGGUUUGGUAAGCUUCAUUUUCAUAUACGUUCGUUUCUGCAGUUGGUGGUCCCUUGUUGAAAAGUCAUGGGGAAUUCUACAAAAUUACCCCAAAGUAUUACCAUUCUACUCAAAUUUUGAUCAGGUAGCAACGAUGUGAAAUUUCAUACUCUGUUCUUGUAUUUAAAACCUUAAUGCUGGGCACCAGUCAAUUGCUGCUCAUAAGAUGCCAGUUCAUAGGAUAUUGACCAUCACAACAUUGUUCAGGGUCAUGGUUUACAUAUUUCUCUUGAGGGUGAGCAAAUGUUAGACAGUCCGUGGAAUAACAUUUCUUCCCAAGGCUUUCAGGUAAGCACUGAUUAGACCUGUGUUUCUUUUGUUGUUACUUUUUGUAGUUUAAAAUUGUGGUCAUAUUGACAAUAAUAAUAUUCAUACUACUCCAGAAAUGAAAAUGUUCUACGUAAACAUGACCUGUUGUUGCUCUAGCCAUCAAACUCUUUAUCCGCUUUAACUUUCCCCUAUGCUUGUGGCAGCCUAUGCUUGAGUUUAAAGAUGACCCUAAUCCAGAUACUAUUCAAGUCCUUGUUGAGUAAGUUUUAAAGAUCGUAUAUUUCUCCUAAUAUUUGUAAAAUCUGAACUGAUUUACAGUUUCCAUUUCCAUGGAUGGUAUGCCACAUGAUAUACAUUUUCUUAUGUGGGUAAUGGGAAGUUGUCUAAGCCAUUAAGUACUGUAAUCUGAUUUGAUAAAUUUUGAUCUUUCUGUGAUACAUCAGAUUAUAGGUCUUAUCAUGAGAAUAAGAAAGUAUGUUGUCCCAAAGGAUGAAAAAUGGUCUGCUCAACCUCUUGCACAGCUCUAUUUUUCCUGCCAUCAAAACUCAAGAGCAAAGCAUCCAAAGUAAAAUUAGAUCUAAGCAUGGAAUUAGAAUACAUCAGUAUCUCCAUGUUUUGGUGGGAUUUGCUGUUAGUUGCUUAAGCUGUCAUACAUUACCUCAACAGUGCAUUCCUCGUUCACAAUCUCUAUUUUUCAUUAAUUUGUUUAGGGUAAACUUCAAUUCAUCCCUAAAUAAAAUAACCAUCUUCAAUUUACCCCUCAAAAGUGUGAAACCCCAAUUUACCCCAAUUUUCGUUCAGAAAAUGAGGGUAAAUGGAGGGCUUCUUGAGGAAUUUUUUUGUCUUCUUAACAGCAAAAGGGGGUAGAUUAAAGAUUGUCAUUCUAAGUAGGGGAUUAAUUGAAGUUUACCCAUUGAUCUAUAUUGUGCAUCAAAGCUCUGCCUCACCUAAUCAUUUAUUUGCUAUUGUAGUUUCAAGGAAGCAUCGUAUAGUGGAGGGGGGAAUGUAACGUUUAAAGGAACUCUUGAAGAGAAUGCCAGUUUCAUUGCAAGGCUUUUUCAGGCAGAGCUUCUGUUGGGGAAUUUUCCUGUUUAUAUCACAUAUUCUGUAAGCUAUUUCUUUAUAGAUCAAGAAGGAAAAUCACAAUUUCAAAUGAUUAUUACUAGCUUUAAUACUAGACUUAAGUUCUAUGUUGAUGUCUUACGUUCACCUGGCCAUUUGAUGAGAACAUUCGUGCUGAGAUUGAUUCAAUGCCUGCAUUCUGAAACUAGAAACUUAGAACAUUCUGUACACAAGCAGGCAUUAGGAUCCAUGCAAGAACUUUGAGUUACUUUUUCUUUUUCCCACCAAUUACCUUAGUAUAAUCCACAGUGUAAUUCUACUUCCAUCUAGACUAACUGUGAGAAUUACCACCAUUGCAGGUAAAAUCAGAAGAAACUUCUCUACUUGGCCUCCUUCUCGAGUUCUCUUCGGCCAGAAAAGAAAGAAAGUCAGUACUUCUUGCAUCCCGUAGAAUUGACCAAUCUUCAACCAAAUUCAGUGAAUUGAUUGUUCCACGCCAAGUUAAAAUGCUAGAAACUACCACAGAAUGGGCCACAUGGGAAGCUAGAAUUAUAAUGGAUGGAUACGCAAUAACAGGAAUCAGUGCUGUAUGCUACAUGCCAGAGCCUAGCAGGCGGACUCUAGAGUCCACAUCAAAUGUUCAAGAUAAUGCAUCAGUUCACACUCCGGCAGAAUACUUUGCAAUCCUUGGGGAUAUUUCUAUUAAAACUAGUGGACAGAACUCAGACUUCCCUCUGUCUAGUUCAUGGCUCGUUGAGGCACAAUAUGUUAAAUUUGCUUCAGAUUCUCAGGGUACUAAAACACUAAGUGCUAAGAUCAUCUGGAAACUAAAAGACGGGAAUGAUUCUGUAUUCCCCCAAUAUAAUAUCUAUCUUGGGAAACCAGCAAAACAGGCAGUCGGAAGUCUGGAUGGAAGGGUAGAGUCAACACAAGAGUAUCUUGGGGUGGCACGAGUUGAAUCAUUUUACAUUUCUAACCUCAUCAUUCCUUCAAACACUGAUACUCUCAAGUUCAUUAUUCAAGUAUGCAGUGUUGAGGGGACAAGCCAGAAUCUGGACAAGUCUCCAUUUCUUCUACUGGAUGUCAAAGAUAAGUAAUCUUAAUAUUCUAGCACUUUAUCAUCCCCUUAAAAGAAGAAUAAUGUUGUUUGUAUCUGGCAACUGUUGUAUGAUUAUUCCUUACACUAAAACUGUUCUGUGAUGACACAUUGGCAUUAGUAAUAUGUUUACCACACAACAAGCUUCUCCAUUUUUUCUACCGAAAAAGAGCAGAGCUGAGUUAGUCAAAACUGGAGACUAUCGUUUUUGGUCUAGGUAAUAUUUUUCUCGAGUUCAGUGAGUCCCCAACACAUAGACUAAACAAAGAUAUUGAAAGAGGGUAUAGGCAUACAUGGCUUGAAGAAUCAAGAACACUGGACUCUGCGCUUAGUUCCAAAACUAACUGCUAUAGAACAAUGAAAAGGAAGAGCUAUUCUGUGAACAGGGCCUUAAAUAAAUGGAACCUAUAUGAAAUAAGAAUGAUCAAGAAAUAAGAUAAUUAAUCGAAAGAAUGAAAGAUAUUUGAUUGAAUUGGUAAGUAUUAUCCUCGAGCCCUCAAAAGAGAAAAUGAGGAUUCCAUAUCUUUCUUGUCUCCCUUGAGAAUUAUAAAAAGAAAAAGAAAAAAACAUGGAAGUUGAUUUUUUUUUUUUUUAAAAAAAAAAAGGCAAGCGCGUUCCUUAGUCUUUUCAUGGUGACUUUUAAUUAAAUUCUGUUUCUUUAAACUUCAUUUGACUCUCACUUAACCUAUAUCCUGAUCUGGCCGGUGGGAAGUUCAUUCAUGUACUAAACCAAAAUGGGUCAAUUUUCUUAGAAGUUCUAUGCCUGAAUUUUGUCUUAUUUAUUAGAUAAUUAAAUCUUAUGGCUUCUUUUCGGCUGCCUUGACUUUUUCAUAAGAAUGGUCGAGUCUUUGAUGUGCAUAUUAUCAAACAGAAUCAUGUGAACUUGCACAGACAUUUAAGCUGUGAACAGUAUAUGAUGUGAAUUUUUGGUGUCAACAGUUGACACCGUCUAUGGGGAACGUUGAAAAAAAAAAACCUCAUUUCUUGAAACACAAAAUGCCUAUGGCCUCCGCCAUUUCCUUCAUAAUAGUGACUCAAGACUUGAAUGGCACUGUUCCUCUAGAUCCUCUGAAGAUGUUGGCACCAAUAAUCCCAAGGAUGACAGAGAUCAAGUUGAAAAUGAAUUAGCUCCUCUAACUUGAGGACAUGCAUUAGUGGCAAGAACAAUUAGAAUAUGCUCUCAACGACAAAUGAUAGCUCGUACAACAACUCAUAGAGGAGCUUCGCUCAACUAAGUGACCAUACCAACGAAGGGAACAAACCUACAAUGAGCACAUUUGCACAAAUUACCGACAUCAGUCUCAAGAGGUUAUAAUUGGUAGACUUGAUAAGAGACAACGCUAUGAUGAUCUCCGACGACAUGAUCAACAGCAUGAAAGUGCUCGGUGUUACGAUCAUUGAAGACAUAUUGCAGCAGAAAAAGGGAAGCAAAAAGUAAUUAUCCCGACGCUCUGGUAAUUCGUCAUGAACACUUAUUAAAUCUAGUAACGGGGAAGAAAUAGCAAGAAGAUAUAUUGGAACAUCCAUUUGGAAGUUGAAAGAAAUGAUUAACAGUAAAAAUUUGGUAAAAUCUUCGGUGAAAAAACUACUUUAAUUGGAUUACCUUUGUCAUUUUAUCAUUUUAUGAACAAUAACUUCAUUAAUUUUUUUUUUCUUAAAAAUCAAAUCUAUUAACAUGCUUUGGUUAAACAAUUCAAUUAGAUAACUAUGAGAUUAAUGCCAAACUAAUUCAUUCUAAGUUCUAGUGCAAAGACUGACGAGUGUACAAAGUUCUAAUCAAUUUAUAACCUCCUAUCUCAUCCAAGAUUUAAACACGGGUGACUAAUUAAAUAAAAAUGCUUGAAAUCACUCAACCGAAUUCUAGGUCAAACGCCUCUAUAAUCUAUACUCUAAUAUUACAUUAUUGGAAAAUAAAAAAAUAAUAUGCGAAAGUGAUUUGCAUUUAAUUAAUUAAAAUAUUAGUCUCUUACUUGAUUAAUGUUAAUACGAGUUAAAGCUUCUAAAUUGCAUCGCAAUACGAUGGUGUUUUAUAACCUACUAUUAAAAAACUUAAAAGAUUAAAUAACUGCUAACACACUAAUGGCAUAGUUAGAAUUCGUUAUUUGGGACUUCGGCACUUUUCCCACCAUUAUUGCUUGUUUUUUCAGAAAACAAGUAUUCAUACAAAUAAAAAUAUUAAAAAAAAAAUUGGAAGAACGUGAUAUUAAGAAUAAAAUAAUAGUAUAAUACUGUUUAAGUUAAACAAUUAUAUCUAAUUAACUAAAGAUACAUGGUUCUACACGAAGUUAGCCCUUCGCUAGCUAAGCCGGUGCUCCUUGCAUAUGUAGGCAGCAGCGCCUUUCAUCAUGUUGUUGCCAAGGAUUCCAGCAAUGUUCUGGUGGCGAUGAUGACGUGGAUAAGGUCGCCAUCGUUUGAGUGGGGAGCUCUCGGGUUUUGGGUUGCUUUGUGUGGUGGUUUACAAAGUAAAAUAUAGGGUACACAAACAUGGUGUUUUUAAUCACAGAAUUGAUCGAAGUUAUUUCUGAUAACAAUUUCGCAGACAUCAAUUACAGCAUCUCGUAUUUGUCUCGGUAUCUAGCAUAACACAUUGCAUAGAUCAGUUAAUGGCACAAGGAUUUCUGGCGUCAUAAGUUCUAGAUGAGGGAAUUUCGCUGCCGACUCAAUUUCACACAUCCUACCACACUUGUAACCCUUACUUCUCUUGUAAGACCACACCAUUGUGUUGAAAAGUCAAAGAGUUUUGGUUGAAAAAGAAAAGUGAGUCACAUGUAUUGUUUUUGUUUUUCAAAGUCGGCACCAAAUUGCAAACUGUAAAAUAUUUGGCAUUUGACAAUCUUGCACCAAAUGAAGAAAAAUAGAAAAGUUAGCAAAAUUUGUCAAAUUGACCGAGAUGAAGAUUGACAAAUUGCAGAGGGAUUAGGUGGAAUAGUGCAAGCUUAAAGCCUAUAAAUUGAAGCCAUUUCUUCAUUCUAAAUUAUCCCAAAAUUGUUAAGCUUAUAAGUUUAUAAGCUUUUAAGAGUUCUGAGAGUGUGAGCAAUUGAAAAGUGUGUGUGAGAAUACUAGGUGUAUUUGGGUUCUGAAAAAGUGAGAUUUCUUUACUCAAAUUUGUUAAUAAUACGAUUAUUUUUCUCUUGCUCCCAUGAAUGUAGGUUUAAUUACCGAACCACAUAAAUUUUGUGUCCAUUAUUGUUCUAUAAUUAUUUGGUGCGCUUAAUUCCGCAUUCCGCGCACAACACAUUGGACUUCCCGUAAAAUGUGAUUUACAAGGAUCAUCUUCUCCUACCUCACAGCAUUCUCAAGCAAGUCUUUCAGAAACUCAACAUCUACCUCACGCCCCUCAAACCCAAUGAAUGAUACUCCUCUAAGAUUUAAAUGAGGAUCAUCCUUGAUGUUUUGUACGUAUAUACAAGGUUCCACUGCAUGGGAUAACAGCAGACAAGGGAUUAACACAUUCGUAUCAUAAAUAUGCGAUUUGAAAAUGAAAUAGGAACACUCUUAUGGGGAAACCAUUUAACCAGACACGUGCACACAGAAUCAAAAGUGAAAUUUUAUUGUUCAGCAAUUCAAACAACAAAUAUUUCAAAUUUCAAAUCAAAAGAAGGGGAAACAUCCACCUUCAACGUGAAUUCCUAAAAUAAAGGAGAUGCUUUCAAAAAAGCAACAUGGAGAUGAUAGCAAUCUCGAUCAGCUGUAGCCAAAGUCAUUUCCAAAUGCUUCAGAUUAGGAAAUUUAGAAAUACAUAGAAGUCUCCAUAUUGGCUAAUGCACGAGGGUAAUGUAAAAAUAAAAAGAAUAAAAUUGAACCUACUUACAGUAACAGGCAUCGGGUUUACUUUCAGUGUACUUAAUUGUGGAAGAAAACUACCAACAAGCGCGUAGAUCAACUAACAUGGAUUGUUCUAGCUUAACUGGCAUUAAAAAAUUGAACCUCCAAGCACUUCAAAUAGAGUGAUCGGCCAGAGACUCUAAUACGCAUCAAUCUCUCAGUAACCUUCGGCCUUAACUCCCCAAGCAACGGACAGUAAUAUAGCAAAUAAUGAAGAGUCUCUUCAGGUAUAUCAACAUCGGUUAAACGCAGGGACAUAAGUGAACUGAAGCUGGAAGUAUCUGAAUAUGGUGAAAAAGUAUGUAACUCAUGAUCGCCUUUCUUUGACUCAUUAAAGUCUAACUCAAGCCUUUGAUGAAUCCAACUAUCAACAUCAUAAUCAGACUUAAGGGGGCAACAAAUUCUUAACUAUUGUAAAUAUUUAGUUUGAAGUAAUCCCAAAAUUGCAUCAACAAGAUUUAUAAAGUUUCGCCUUUUCACGGGAAUGAAAUAAUUAUCUUCAGAUUUGUAAUGGAUCAGAAAAAAUUGCCAAGCGCCGAAUUUAGUAGGGGUUGAUAAAGUCCAAAGAACCAGUGAAAGAUCUCCAUAAAUAUCGCCAUCUGUAUGAUAAAACGUUGGCUCUUGCUGCCUCAUCAAUUGUUAAGCGAGAUAAAAUACUUAUCAAAAUAUCAUCUGGCAAUUCACCAAUACGAUCAUCCAUGCUCUUUUUAGGGGCAAAAUGUCAAAUUUUUUAAUGUUUUGAGCUGGGGUUUAGACUAGACUCAACAGGCAUAGUCCUCAUCCUUUAGGAAAUUAUAUUAGACAAUUUAUGGAGCGUUGAUCAACGAAAUUUUGACGGACGACGUCGUUUGGUUCUAAGCGGAUUGGACUUGAUUCAAUUUUUGAAACUUCACUAAUCAAACGUUGUAAAAUAUGUACAAAAUUUUGUCGACUCUUAUCUUUAUUUUCAUCCUGUAACUUAAAAGUUGCCAUAGAAAAAAAAAUUAGUUAUUGUUGGAUUUUAAUACAUCACUAGUUAGAUCACUGUUUUUUUAUCAACGGUUUAGACUGUAGAUUGUUUAGACAAAUAUUUUGAGGAUAAAUAAUAGACUAAAAGAUUAGUGCUAUUGUCAAACUUUUGACGUUCAAUGCGUUUAACGCAUUGAUUUGCAUUUUUACAUUAACUGUAUUAUAUCUGUUUAUCUGUUAAUGUGUUAAAAAUCUGUAAUUUUUUUAUUUAUUAGUAGCAUAUUUACUCUGUUAAAAAGAAAAUAUCUUUAUUUGAUUUAUAUAUAUAUAUAUAUAUAUAUAUCUGCUGUACCUAACUACAAUUGAGCUAGAUAAAAAAAUUAUUUAUUGGUUACUACAAGUUAUAUCAUAUGUAAUUUAAUAAGAUCCACGAUGAUGAUAUUGAGUAAAAAAAAAAAUCAAAUGUGUAACUGUUAUAACAUUUAUACAACUGUUAUUUUUAAAGUUUUUUUUUAUGAUAUAAUUGUAUGGAAUGAAGAGGUGCUACCCUCGAAUAGUUGUAUCUUACAUUCGAUACAAAUUUAUCACAUGGUAAUAAGAUCGUAGUGAAAAGUCGAUGAGGACUAUUAUACAUAACAUACAACUGUUGUAAGAUUAAUGAAUGGAUGAAAUUUCUUUAUCUAGUUAGAUCAUUGCGCUUCUUUAUUCCAUUCUUCUUCCCACUUGUCCGACUUGUCUUCUUAGUGAUGUAUAUUAUACAUAACAUACAUAACAUACAAAUGUCGUAAGAAGAAGAAGAAGAAGAAGCACAAGAGCAUAAAUAAAGGUUGAUGUGCCAAUGAGUUACAGAAUAGAAAAACCUUUGUUGCAAAAUAUCUUCCUCUUAAGUUGAAGAUUGUCGGCAAAAAGUCUUGAUCUAACACAUUUUUACUUUGAAAAAAUGUUAAAAUUAUGAUUGAUGAUACAACUACAAACUCUUAUACAAAUUUAUUUUAUACAAAAUGAUGUGGCAUCAAUUCAUUGGUUGAAUGAAAACAUAAAAUAAUAUAAAUAAAUUAUGUGGGGCAAGAGAUAUUUAUUUUAACCAAUUUUAUUAUGGCACAUCAAUUUAUACAAAAUAAGUUUGUACAAGAGUUUUUGACUAUAUCAUUACUCUAAAAUUAUUUAAAUUCUGCAUUAAAGUUAAGGUUGUGAAGGCAUUAUUAGAUAAUCAGAUUUUAUCUAUUUUAUUUGAUUUUCUAAUCAUUUAGCAGUGUAACAUAUGAUACAAAUAGAUAUCAUAGUUGGACCCUACAAACAUUUAUAUUUGUUUUUUCAAUUUUUUUUUUAAUUGAACCGUGUUUAGUUAAUUGAAGCUAGGAGUCAAAUUAAGCCAUAACAGGGGUGGGUGGGUGUGCGGAUUAUUUGAUAGUCGUUGUGACUUCAUCUUAAGGGGGGAAAUUUCUAUAGAUUUAUCCGAUAAAAAGAUUAAAAAAAAUCUGAGCAUAUUUAAAAGCGCAUUACGAAUAUUUAUUAGUAACUCAAUUUUGCAUUUUUCCCUUUUUUUGACUUGCCUUUAGAGAUAUAUUUAUAUAUGUAUAUAUACACACACACCUUCGCUGUAAAAUUGAAGAUUGGGUAAGCAAUUAUGGAAGUACCCAUUAAGCCAUAAUCAAGCCACAAUUAGUAAAAGCAAGAAGUGCAGAAGGAGCGAGUGACAACUCUCACACGUGCUCCAACGCAUCAAAUUUCGCAAUUCAAAACCUGUCCCACAGACAAAAUCCUGACUCAUCACCAAUCACAUCCGUCCAUCACCAAACUCCAAUUAAAGUUUCAUCCCUGAUCUACCCUUCGCAUCACCAGCUAUUUACAUCAGCUGCCCCUUUGCGACUUUAGUUUGCUGCUAAAGCACAGAUGUCUUGUUUCAACGACCAGUCCCUAAUUUUCCAAUAAGGAUAAUCAUUUCCGUCGAAAAAUGGAGGUCUAGUGAUAGAUUGGCCUUCCAUGAUGGUUGAGCUAAUUUGGGUUCUAUGGAUCAUCAUCAUCGUCAUCAUCGUCGUCAUCAUGGUCAUCAUCAUCAUCGUCAUCAUCAUCAUCAUCAUCAUCAUCAUCAUCAUCGUCAUCGUCAUCAUCAUCGUCAUCGUCGUUAUCAUCAUCGUCGUCGUCAUCAUCAUCAUCGUCGUCGUCAUCAUGAUCAUCAUCAUCAUCAUCAUCAUGAUCAUCAUCAUCGUUGUCAUCAUCAUCAUCAUCAUCAUCGUUGUCAUCAUCAUAAUCAUAAUAAUUUGGGAAUCAGGCAGAACAUCAUAUUUGUUCAAUACAUCUCUGUUAAUGUAAUAUUGAAUUCGAGCACACAAAUAAUAGUUGUAUACAGAAUUCACGCACAAAAUUUAUAAUUUUAUUCAUGAAGAAUCAAAAACAUACUAUCAAAUUAACACAGUGAAAACCAAUUAACGGACAUCAAUCAGUCAAGCAAUCACAGGUUCGGCCUAACAAAAAUAAAUAAAUAAAUAGAACUCGUUUUCAAUCUAAUACAUAUGACGACUUCUUCUAUUAAAAAGAAAAAAAAAAGUACUAUUCAAGGUUAGUAGGGUUUAUACAUUUUGCAUCGACAGAAAGUUAAAUGAAUGACGAAGAGAAGGGCUGUUAAGUUACCAGAUACGAGCCGUCUUCUCUCCUCGAUGUCUAUGUCGGCUACUGCUUAGUGUGAUGAGAGGUUCAAGAGAAGAAAAGCUAAAGGGUUUUGCAGCCGCUUGUCUUUGUACAAUUUAUAGGGCUUUUAAACGACGUUGUUUAAUCCUUUUUACUAUUUAUGAAUGGUUUUCGUUUAUUAUGGGGAUAUUAUCAUUUAGAUCCCUGCCCAUUAAUAUUUUAUUAAUUAAAUGCAUAAUUUGCAGUGCUCUGUUAACCAAGUCCUCAUAAGAAGACCAAAUUCCCGGUCUCAGGAGUUUACGUUAGUGAGUGCUGGUCAUUGGUCUAAGAUUAAGAAACUGUUUGGUAGUUCAUUUGGAAAAAUUUUAAAAACACACAUUUAAUAUAAAUAAGUAAAUUAUAUUCUUAUUUAAUAAAAUAUCAAUACUAUGGACACUCACUUUCUAAAAUGCACCAUUCUCUACCCACCCAUAAAAUCCUAAAACCUUAAAACACCAUUACCAUGGCCAGUGCUUUCCUAAUGAGGUUGUUGGCCUACACUUCUUAUUUGCUUACCCACAUUAGUUUUUAUUGUGUGGAUUUCGAAAAAACCAUAAAUACAUGAAAACUCAAACCCACAACUUCAUUUCAAAUAGUGUACACAAAUGACUAAGCAAUAGACUCAGGACUAGUUUAGAAUUCUUGUAGUGGAUGGAAUAAGAUGUUUUAUGUUGUGCGGUUGAAAUAAGUUGCUAGUUGAAAAAAUUCAAAAUACAAGUUUGCAACCCAAGAGGGGGGGUGAAUUGGAAAUUUAAAAAUUAUCCUAGCAAAUUCACACAACAAGUAAUCUAAUGUCUUAAUAAAAAUUGAAAGCAAUAAGUUCAACAAAAGCACAAUAAUUAAAGAGUAAAGGAGAAGAGAAACAAACACAUGAAUUUUUACGUGGUUCGGCAAUCCCCGCCUAUGUCCACGCCUCCAAGCGAUCCAAACUUGAGGAUUCCACUAUCCAAGCCUUUCUAAGACUUCAAACGUUUACAAUUGACUUCAAGGUGUCAAUGAACUUUUACAACAAGAGAUUAUAUCUUCAAUCUCUUCACCCCAAGUGUUUUUCACACUUGUACUCUCACAAUUUGAUGAGAAAUGAAAAACACAACAAUGAAUCUCUCUUUAAGAGUGGAUAUACAAAUUGAAGAACAAAGAUGAUUUAAUGAAUGAUGAUUCAAGAAGUUGAAGCUCAAUAUAUGUUGUGUGCACUUGUUCUUGCUUGCUUGGAUUUGCAAAAAUGAAUUGGUUUUGAGUUUAUAUAGUUUGAACUCAAAAACUAGCCGUUACUCACAGUGCAUUAUUUUUUGAAAUUAUAGUUUGACCUCAAAACUUUACAAAACUAUACUACGGCCCAAAACGUUAUGAAACUUUACAAAUAAGUCCAAUUUCAGAAUUUCUAAAUAAUAUUUUGUUAAUCCCAAAACUUUUUGAAAUUAUGAUAUUGCCAAAGAUGCUAUGACACUUUUCAAAUAAGUCAUUUACCAAAAUUUCAAGCAAUACUUGUUUAUUUCAAAGUAUUCAAAAUUCUUUCAAUUAAACCAUAAACUUUGAAAAACAACCAAUUUCAUAAAAUCAUUUUUCCAUUAAAUAUGAAAUAUUUAUAAUGUGAAAAUAAUGAUUUAUUUAAAAAACUAAAAACAAUCAAUUUCAUAAAAUCAUUUUUCCAUUAAAUAUGAAAUAUUUAUAAUGUGAAAAUAAUGAUUUAUUUAAAAAACUAAAAACAAUCAAUUUCAUAAAAUCAUUUUUCCAUUAAAUAUGAAAUAUUUAUAAUGUGAAAAUAAUGAUUUAUUUAAAAAACUAAAAACAAUCAAUUUCAUAAAAUCAUUUUUCCAUUAAAUAUGAAAUAUUAAUAAUUUGAGCUUAAAAAAUAUAUCAUUCUUAAUCUUGUUUGUUAUCAUCAAAAUCAACAUUAUGAAAACAUAUAUGUUAACAAAAAUAACUCAGUGUUUAGUAAAUUGUGUUAUUGUAAUUACUUUCAGUUUUUUUAAAAAAAAAGUAUGUGUCUUUGGUAAAUUUAUUAUCAAAGUACUAUUUUAUUAUAUAAUGGCCUAAAUAAACAUAAGUGUAAAUUUUCUUUUGUUUGUAUAUAAGCAUAUAAGAGUUUGUGAAAAAGUAAGAUAUACUUAUCCUUUUGUUAAAAUAUUAAAAUUACAAUAAAAAAUUAAAAAAGUGUGGUACUCUAUUUAAUAAGUUGUUUAUAAAAAACUUUAAAAGUCUGCUGCAAAAAUGUAGAAACUUAUAAAAUAAAUAACAUUUUAAAAAAUUUAUCAAACACCAUUUUUACCAAAACUUAUGAAAUAAAUUAUUUAUAGCAUUUUAACUAUAAUCCCAAAGGGGGUUCUAAUGAUGGCUACUUUUGUCCAUUGACUAUAAAAUUAGUAAAAAAUAGAAAAAUAAAAAAAUUGACUAUACAACAGAACUUCAUUAAAUUAAUACUCGAUAAAUUCAUAAUCUUGAUUAAAUAAUUACUUUUUUCUCCCAACUUGGGACCAACAUGAUAACUUAAUCAUUUGAGAAGUUAUUAAAUAAAAAACUUUCAAAACAUUCUUGUUUUUCUACCGACCCAAUUAAUAGGUAUAUUAAUAAUUACCUGAAUUGAAACUAAAUAUAUAUCAUAUGUCUAUGAGGUUUUUGAUAAAUAAAUUUUCAAUGUUUCGUGCUUGAAAUUAAUUUCUGUUAUUAUACUAAUGUAAUAUGUGAAGAGGAAUAAGAGAGAGGUCAACUUAAUAUAUUUCCUCCAAGUGCUCUUCUAAUGUGUUACUAUAUAAUUGUAAUCUAGUUGUACAAUCUAAUCAAUGAAUUAUUAAGUGAUUGAUACAUUUAAACAAGAUUUAAUUAAAAUGUAUCAUACAACUUUACUCGAUGUACUCGAUGUACUAAUAUUUAUUAAAUUAAUAGAUUUUUUAUGGUUCAAAGAAUGUUAAUUUAUAGUAGUUAUACUACAUUAUUCAAUAAUAGGGUCAUGCUCAUAAUUUUCACCGCUCAAUCAUAAAAAAUUAUCUACUCAAUGGUAAAAUAUUGUUGAUAACCGUACGAUCAUAAAAAUAAAUAUUAAAUCUACACUUAUUACUAUAACGUAAGGAUCACCGUCAGUUCUCUACAGUAGAACAACUCCACUGUCUACCGAAGCCUUUGUUUUUCAUCGAGAAAUAAAUAUAAAAUUAAGGGACUGAUUUGAUAUGUUUUCAGUAGGUAUCAAUGGAUGCUAUCUGACUCCGAAUCCGCGCUUGCCUUGAACCGUUAGAAUGGAGUCCAACCCGAACAAAGCGUUAACAGAAACUCGCUUUUCCGAUUUGAAGCCGGCGCUUUCCGAGCCAGUUCUCGAAGCCUUAGCUGAAGCCGGCUUUGAGUUUUGCACGCCUGUUCAAGCUGCCACAAUCCCUUUGUUAUGCAGCUACAAGGACGUAGCCGUGGACGCCGCCACCGGCUCUGGCAAAACCCUAGCUUUUGUCGUCCCUCUAGUGGAGAUCCUCCGCCGUGCCUCUUCUGCUCGGAAACCCCACCAGGUCCAAAACAUUUUCUCAUUUGUGUUUGGCUGCCUAGAAGCUUCAGGAAAAUUAAAUUAAAACAUAGAAAUUUAUAUUUAAAUGAACUCAACGAGCUCAAAUAGCUUUUUUUUUUUUUUUACUUUUUACCCAAAAAAUGCAUAUGAUUUAUUUUUCAGUUAAAUUUUCUACAAAAACUCUUACUGAUUCUUUGAAAAGCACUUUGCGUGAGCACUUUUGCUUCUCUUAGCACCGCACUAGAAAAUAGUCAAAUAGUUCUUCUAAGUACUUGAAUAGUUUUUACUUCUAGUUGUAGUUGAUUCUAAAUAAAUUGAUUGCAUUGCACUGGCAAUUUUAUUAUGUAUCGAGUGAAUUGCAUUUGCUUUUAGUGAUUACUUUGUUGAGAAAUUAGUUUUUGAAUUGAGAGCAGAUAAUGGGGAUGAUUAUCUCACCAACAAGGGAGCUAUCAUCGCAAAUAUACCAUGUUGCACAGCCGUUCAUCUCAACUUUACCGGAUGUUAAGUCUGUGCUUCUUGUGGGAGGUGUGGAGGUGAAAGCAGAUGUGAAGAAAAUAGAGGAAGAAGGAGCAAAUUUGUUGAUCGGGACACCUGGGAGGCUAUAUGAUAUAAUGGAACGUAUGGAUGUCUUGGAUUUUCGGAACCUUGAGGUAGUUGCUUGGAUGUUUGAUUCUCUAUAAUGUAUUAAUUUCUAAUCUUGGUUUGGAUAGAGAUUGAUGAUCUUCAUUGUCUUUUCUAUUUUAUGGAAAUCUUGGCUUCAAUUCACACCUUGUUUUUGUUGUUAGUGAUUAUCUAGAGGACUUUUAAUCCAUGUUGCUGAAUUUAUAGUUUGUCAGUUGACAAUGCACAAUGAGUGCAAGGAUCAGUAGCCUCUGGAUUUGUUUAAUGAAGACUUAACUAGACAAUUGACAGAUGUUUAAUGAUUAUGACUGAAGAUUACACUAAUUUAGAAUGUAAUUUUUGAACAAUUUUUCACAAAGAUAAUACUUGGAUCCUGUACUUUGGUGACCUUACAGCUUCAUCUUGCUGGUUGUGCAGAUUUUGGUUCUAGAUGAGGCUGACAGGCUCUUGGAUAUGGGAUUCCAGAAACAGAUCAGUUACAUCAUAUCUCGCCUGCCUAAACUUCGUAGAACUGGCCUUUUUUCAGCUACUCAAACUGAGGCAGUUGAAGAGCUAUCCAAAGCAGGGCUGAGGAAUCCUGUGAGGGUUGAAGUGCGAGCAGAAUCAAAAUCACAUCAUGUAUCGGCAUCAUCGCAGCAACUAGCCUCUUCGAAAACACCUUUAGGCCUUCAUCUUGAGGUGUUGUGUGUGAAUAUAUUUUGGUUGCAAUUUACGUUGCAUGUGGUUAAACAGAAUUGAAGCCAAAUAAACUCAAAUAAUGAUUUUUGGAAUUUUAAUUUGACAUAUUAGAUCCUGGAAGACAUUUAUUGAAUCUGGAAGUCACUUGAAUUAAUUUUUUAUCCUCUUCUUCAAAGCCAUAAAGCAAACUCUGGGUUGUGCUAAAUAUUCAUGUUUGAUGUCAUUUCAGACUAAUUGGAUUUCCCCCCCCUAAUUUGACAAAAAUAGUAACCCUUUGUUAUGAUUUGAACACUAAUAGUCUUUGUAAGUUCUGCAUUUAUUCUGAAUUAAUUUCUCCUCUGAUUCUGCAGUAUUUGGAAUGUGAACCAGAUGAGAAACCAUCACAACUUGUUGAUCUGCUUAUAAAGAACAAGUCUAAAAAGAUUAUAAUGUAAGUUCAGCAUGGAAAUUUCUCAGAGGAUGGAUGAUGCUAUCUUUUUGUAGUUAAUGGCCUAUGAUUAAUCAUAAUUUCAUAAUAGGAUUAAUGUAUGUCUUCAGAUAUUUCAUGACUUGUGCUUGUGUUGACUACUGGGGAGUUGUUCUUCCACGUCUGGCUGUUUUGAAGAGUCUCUCGUUGAUUCCUCUUCAUGGAAAGAUGAAGCAGGUAGGAUGUUAGUUAUUGAAAUAUCCUCAGAAUCUUAUAUUACAAUUUCAGAAGUCGGCUGGUGUAUAUUAUUACUCAUUUUGAUUGAUUUUGAUUACAAAUAGACUGCUAGGGAGAAAGCAUUAGCUUCAUUUACAUCUCUUUCAAGUGGCAUUCUUCUAUGUACGGAUGUUGCUGCACGUGGACUUGACAUUCCUGGUGUUGAUUGUAUAGUGCAGGUGACUUUGUAAAUUGCAGAAAAGUAGACCAGUCAUUAUCCGUGUUACUUUAUGUGUGGUGGUUAAUGUGUUUGUUAUCUUGCAGUAUGAUCCCCCUCAAGAUCCAAAUGUUUUCGUUCACAGAGUUGGUCGAACUGCUAGGUUGGGUAGACAAGGGCGCUCCAUUGUUUUCCUAUCACCCAAGGUGUCUUUCACCCGCAUACUGACUCCCUUAUCAUGUACUAUUCUUGUUAAAGAAAAAUUUCUAGGGAAAUUAAUUUAAUUAUACUUGUUCAGGAGGAAGCUUAUGUAGAAUUCCUGCGGAUAAGAAGGGUUCCUCUUCAAGAGAGGAAAUGCUCUGAUGAUGCUUCUGAUGUAGUUCCUGAGGUGAUCAUGAUUUCUAUCUUAUUCUCUUCCAUUGUUUUUGGUUUUGGAAAUUUGUUCUAUAUAUUCCGGUGUGUAGUGAGAAGAAAAUGGUUGAUCCAACAUAGUAUCAAAACUUGUUUCAGAUUCGAUCUGCAGCAAAAAAAGACCGUGAUGUCAUGGAGAAAGGUCUCAGAGCAUUUGUUUCUUAUAUACGUGCAUAUAAAGAGCAUCACUGCUCGUAUAUCUUCAGGUCACUACUGCCUUCUAUCCAUAAUUUCUCUCUGCAUUUUUUAUUGUUUCGUUAUAAUGUUUUUUAUCCAUCAUAUUAUAUAGGUGGAAAGAACUUGAGGUCGGGAAAUUGGCUAUGGGUUAUGGCUUACUACAACUUCCUUCAAUGUCUGAGGUAAAGAUCCAUUCUCUUUCCACCAAGGGUUUCGUCCCAGUUAAAGACAUCAAGUUGGAGGACAUCAAGUACAAGUAAGAACUAACAAUGUGUUAUCAAAAUUUGUUGAUUAAAUAGAAUCAAAGAGCCUAAUAAUUUGCAUUGACAAUUGACAUGGAAGUCAUCAUAGAGGAAGAAACCCCAUAUUCGAUUUGUGAAUUUCUUAAAUGCUUUCACUUCACAACCAGUCUUCUUCUUUUUCAUUUAGCAAGAUAUUGACUUCUUUCAAUAUUUUUAAAAGAUAAAUUUAUUUUUUCAACCAAGUUCAGACAGACCAUUGUUCAAAACCUUUUUGGUUUCCAAGGCAAACUUGCAGCAAAAUUAGCUGAAUUUCUUUUGCCUCUUUUUUCAGUAUUGAAAGGAAAAUGAUGGGAAACCUUAUGAUUUUUGUAUAAGAAUCAUCCAACAUCACAUUCCUCUUAUCAUUUAUGCUUUUUCACAUAUGCAGCAUUGAUGGAAUUAUUUAUUUUUUUAAGAUCUGUGUAAGCCUGUGAUCAUAGCUGAUAACUAUAUUAAAUCAGGGUAAAUCACGUGAGAAACAAAGGAAGAAGAAUUUGCAAGCAAAGAAAGAGGCACAGCAGCAAGAACCAAAACGACAGAAACCGAACAAGGCCUCAGAUGCUGCAACUACUGUGAUGAGGAAGAAAACAGCAAAACAGAGACGUGCUACCCAGGCAAUCGAAGACGAAGAUGAGCUGGCCCGGGAUUACCGCCUAUUAAAAAAGCUAAAAAAGGGUAGUAUAGAUGAAAGUGAAUUUGCAAAGAUGACGGGGACAGAAGAGUUGCUAUAAGUGCAUCAUGCAGGUCAUGAUUCUGCAAGUUUUGAUGUUGAUUGGGUGUUGUCAGCCCUCAAUGAGAAGAAAUCUUAACCUGCCGUCUGGUUGUGCCCCAACCCAUGUAAAGCUUGUUUUGCCCUCCUCUAAUGAUAUGCAUUAUUGGUGUUCUGUCACACCUCAGGGAAAUUUCUUGCCCCAUUGGCACUUAAUACAAAAAUAUUUAAAUAAUUUUGUAGAUUAGAAGAACUGUCUCUCACUGGAGUUCCCUGUGCAUUUCUUAAUAAUCAGUAAUUCUGUAUUUGAUCUUGUUAUAUUCAGUUGAAUAAAUUAUGCCAUUCGCUAUGAAGUAACCAUGACUUUAAAGCAUGUGAUAAACACCGGUACAAAUGAAAUUGAUUGGAUCCGAAUUUCCAGAAAUAUCUUAGCUUACUUGCUCUUCCUUGUGAUUGUUGGUAAAAUUUACGGAACUGAAUAGUAACAGAGAGAUGGAUGAAAGAAAUAUGCUUCUAUAAUGGUGAAGGUGUCUGAGUAGUCUCAAGCUUCAAUGUUAUAUUCACCAGCACUUGUAGAAUAGUUGUUGAUGUACAGUCGACUGACUGACUGACUGACUGUAAGCGAUGACGAAGACCAAGAACGAAGUCAACAAAAGCAUUUAAAGGCACAGCAAAAGCGAAGCUUCCUGCCAUGUUCCAAACUCACUGUCAAGACUUGACCUUCGUCUUCGUCUUCGUCGUCGUCCCAUGUAUCUUAAUAAUAAUAAUACUUCAUCAUCUUCUUCGGACUUACAUCAAUCGUCAAACUCUAAAAACUCUCCGCAACUCCCUCCUCUCACUUAAAAAAACUCUCCACUCCCUCGUUCUCUUCAUCACCAUGUCCAAUUCCAACGACGACUCCUCAGCCGUCGAUCCUCCUCCGUUCGACCCAUUGCAGCCGUCGAUUCCCAUCUCUUACCCCAUUAAAACCCUCCAAGAUCUUCACUCUCGCGCUUACUUUGACUCCUUUCACUACCCUUUUAAUAAGUCGACUGUUCCUCUUCAUCCUCUGAACGGUGCGUCUCCAACUCUACCUGCCAGGCCGAGGAUUUUGGUUUGCCAUGACAUGCAAGGUGGCUACGUGGAUGAUAAGUGGGUCCAAGGUGGGACCAAUGCCGACGCCUACGCUAUUUGGCAUUGGCAUUUGAUGGAUGUUUUUGUUUAUUUUUCUCAUAGUUUGGUCACUUUGCCUCCUCCUUGUUGGACUAACACUGCUCACAGACAUGGCGUUAAGGUAGUGCAAUUUCUUUUUCUUUUUCUUUUUUUUUUAAUUUAUAUUUCGUUCUUGAACAAUAAGUGCUUAGUUAGUUGAAAAUUAAAAGACAUGCCUUUUAUGUUUUGCUUUUGUUUUCUUUGCUUCUUGCCUAAUAAUUUGCAUUGACAAUUGACAUGGAAGUCAUCAUAGAGGAAGAAACCCCAUAUUCGAUUUGUGAAUUUCUUAAAUGCUUUCACUUCACAACCAGUCUUCUUCUUUUUCAUUUAGCAAGAUAUUGACUUCUUUCAAUAUUUUUAAAAGAUAAAUUUAUUUUUUCAACCAAGUUCAGACAGACCAUUGUUCAAAACCUUUUUGGUUUCCAAGGCAAACUUGCAGCAAAAUUAGCUGAAUUUCUUUUGCCUCUUUUUUCAGUAUUGAAAGGAAAAUGAUGGGAAACCUUAUGAUUUUUGUAUAAGAAUCAUCCAACAUCACAUUCCUCUUAUCAUUUAUGCUUUUUCACAUAUGCAGCAUUGAUGGAAUUAAUUUUUAUUUUUUUAUUUUUAAGAUCUGUGUACGCCUGUGACCAUAGCUGAUAACUAUAUUAAAUCAGGGAUAAAUCACGUGAGAAACAAAGGAAGAAGAAUUUGCAAGCAAAGAAAGAGGCACAGCAGAAAGAACCAAAACGACAGAAACCAAACAAGGCCUCAGAUGCUGCAACUACUGUGAUGAGGAAGAAAACAGCAAAACAGAGACGUGCUACCCAGGCAAUCGAAGACGAAGAUGAGCUGGCCCGGGAUUACCGCCUAUUAAAAAAGCUAAAAAAGGGUAGUAUAGAUGAAAGUGAAUUUGCAAAGAUGACGGGGACAGAAGAGUUGCUAUAAGUGCAUCAUGCAGGUCAUGAUUCUGCAAGUUUUGAUGUUGAUUGGGUGUUGUCAGCCCUCAAUGAGAAGAAAUCUUAACCUGCCGUCUGGUUGUGCCCCAACCCAUGUAAAGCUUGUUUUGCCCUCCUCUAAUGAUAUGCAUUAUUGGUGUUCUGUCACACCUCAGGGAAAUUUCUUGCCCCAUUGGCACUUAAUACAAAAAUAUUUAAAUAAUUUUGUAGAUUAGAAGAACUGUCUCUCACUGGAGUUCCCUGUGCAUUUCUUAAUAAUCAGUAAUUCUGUAUUUGAUCUUGUUAUAUUCAGUUGAAUA
Molecule: long non-coding RNA, 23487 nt
Filed under: Citrus sinensis (sweet orange)
Lineage: Eukaryota; Viridiplantae; Streptophyta; Magnoliopsida; Sapindales; Rutaceae
Description: long non-coding RNA (CSIN_LNC003258)
Source: RNAcentral